AUUAAGUCAAGUGCAGUAUACUUGGGUUCAAUUUGAGUCAACUAAAAAAAAAGCUCAGCAGCAUGUAGCCUUUUAAAUUUUAGUUGAGUCAACUUUUUGUGCAGUUUUUAAUUUUGAGUUCAAUACUAUUAGUUCCCUUAAUAUAUGUUCUGUGUUUUUCCAUCAGGCAGCAGUCAGAGUUCAUUCUGUGAUGAUCUUUCUCCAGGAGUCGAGAGGGGCCGCAUGUACGCCACUCUGGGCCCCAACUGGAGGGCUCCUGUACGCAAUUCCCCCAGAGGCCGCGGCCAGGCCCUCAGGUACACCUCUCCAUCCUCUGGACCUCCGCCCGCUCCACCUGUCCUGGCAUGCACUGUCUCUUCCUUCACAUUACUCUAGUUCAGACUGUCACACGUCUCUCGACUUCUGUUUUCUCCAGAGUCUCAUCAUCUCAGACUGCUGUUAUAGCACUCAGUCACUGCAUAAUAAAGCUCUGUCCACAACAACACGAGUAUUUUCUAAACCAGUUUUUUUUCUACAUGGUUUGGCUGUUUGUCCACAUGAAAACGCAGGGCUCUAAUUUGACGGUCCAUGCGCAGGGCGCAAACGCUUUCAGAGCGUGUCAGGACGCGUUUUUGCUAAUUUAAGGACGGGAAAUCUGCCUUGUGCCAAGGCGCAUGUUCUAAAAGGGUUGAGUUUAUUUUCUUAAUGAGUUAUAGGUGUGUUUUGAGAAUAAACCAAUCAGAGUCUUAUCUCCCAUUCCCUUUAAGAGUCAGCUGCAUCACACCAAGAGCGCAUUCGCUAUUUACAGGACGCAAAGUAAGUCUAAGUGGAAAAAAUGAGCAUUUCACAAGCAAACAGUUAACAGUUAACAGUUUUUUAACAGAAAACUGUUAAACAGAGCAUCUACUGCGUGAGAAUGAGAGAUAAUGGAUCUACUUUCACUUUCGCUCUUGGAUAGGGAAACCUUUACGCACAGACAUCAAUUAGCCUAUAAAUAAUUAAUUUCGUUUGUUAAGUGCAAAGAUUUGUUUCAAAACUAUUUCUAAAUUCAGUUCUGAUUUCUAGCAAACGAAUAAAUGAACAACAAUAACCAAGUGUGGUCAAAAUACUGAGUUAUUUCCAAAUACACCUGCCAUGCCCCAUAUGGUUUUAAACCUGACAGGUGGCCAAAUCUAAGCUUGUUUUUAAUAAAAC
Molecule: long non-coding RNA, 1173 nt
Filed under: Danio rerio (zebrafish)
Lineage: Eukaryota; Metazoa; Chordata; Actinopteri; Cypriniformes; Danionidae
Description: lncRNA (ENSDARG00000117640.1)
Source: RNAcentral